Molecule: ribosomal RNA, 2905 nt
Filed under: Escherichia coli
Lineage: Bacteria; Pseudomonadati; Pseudomonadota; Gammaproteobacteria; Enterobacterales; Enterobacteriaceae
Description: 23S ribosomal RNA
Rfam family: Bacterial large subunit ribosomal RNA
Source: RNAcentral
GGUUAAGCGACUAAGCGUACACGGUGGAUGCCCUGGCAGUCAGAGGCGAUGAAGGACGUGCUAAUCUGCGAUAAGCGUCGGUAAGGUGAUAUGAACCGUUAUAACCGGCGAUUUCCGAAUGGGGAAACCCAGUGUGAUUCGUCACACUAUCAUUAACUGAAUCCAUAGGUUAAUGAGGCGAACCGGGGGAACUGAAACAUCUAAGUACCCCGAGGAAAAGAAAUCAACCGAGAUUCCCCCAGUAGCGGCGAGCGAACGGGGAGCAGCCCAGAGCCUGAAUCAGUGUGUGUGUUAGUGGAAGCGUCUGGAAAGGCGUGCGAUACAGGGUGACAGCCCCGUACACAAAAAUGCACAUACUGUGAGCUCGAUGAGUAGGGCGGGACACGUGGUAUCCUGUCUGAAUAUGGGGGGACCAUCCUCCAAGGCUAAAUACUCCUGACUGACCGAUAGUGAACCAGUACCGUGAGGGAAAGGCGAAAAGAACCCCGGCGAGGGGAGUGAAAAAGAACCUGAAACCGUGUACGUACAAGCAGUGGGAGCACAGAGCAAUCUGUGUGACUGCGUACCUUUUGUAUAAUGGGUCAGCGACUUAUAUUCUGUAGCAAGGUUAACCGAAUAGGGGAGCCGAAGGGAAACCGAGUCUUAACUGGGCGUUAAGUUGCAGGGUAUAGACCCGAAACCCGGUGAUCUAGCCAUGGGCAGGUUGAAGGUUGGGUAACACUAACUGGAGGACCGAACCGACUAAUGUUGAAAAAUUAGCGGAUGACUUGUGGCUGGGGGUGAAAGGCCAAUCAAACCGGGAGAUAGCUGGUUCUCCCCGAAAGCUAUUUAGGUAGCGCCUCGUGAAUUCAUCUCCGGGGGUAGAGCACUGUUUCGGCAAGGGGGUCAUCCCGACUUACCAACCCGAUGCAAACUGCGAAUACCGGAGAAUGUUAUCACGGGAGACACACGGCGGGUGCUAACGUCCGUCGUGAAGAGGGAAACAACCCAGACCGCCAGCUAAGGUCCCAAAGUCAUGGUUAAGUGGGAAACGAUGUGGGAAGGCCCAGACAGCCAGGAUGUUGGCUUAGAAGCAGCCAUCAUUUAAAGAAAGCGUAAUAGCUCACUGGUCGAGUCGGCCUGCGCGGAAGAUGUAACGGGGCUAAACCAUGCACCGAAGCUGCGGCAGCGACACUAUGUGUUGUUGGGUAGGGGAGCGUUCUGUAAGCCUGUGAAGGUGUACUGUGAGGUAUGCUGGAGGUAUCAGAAGUGCGAAUGCUGACAUAAGUAACGAUAAAGCGGGUGAAAAGCCCGCUCGCCGGAAGACCAAGGGUUCCUGUCCAACGUUAAUCGGGGCAGGGUGAGUCGACCCCUAAGGCGAGGCCGAAAGGCGUAGUCGAUGGGAAACAGGUUAAUAUUCCUGUACUUGGUGUUACUGCGAAGGGGGGACGGAGAAGGCUAUGUUGGCCGGGCGACGGUUGUCCCGGUUUAAGCGUGUAGGCUGGUUUUCCAGGCAAAUCCGGAAAACUAAGGCUGAGGCGUGAUGACGAGGCACUACGGUGCUGAAGCAACAAAUGCCCUGCUUCCAGGAAAAGCCUCUAAGCAUCAGGUAACAUCAAAUCGUACCCCAAACCGACACAGGUGGUCAGGUAGAGAAUACCAAGGCGCUUGAGAGAACUCGGGUGAAGGAACUAGGCAAAAUGGUGCCGUAACUUCGGGAGAAGGCACGCUGAUAUGUAGGUGAAGUCCCUCGCGGAUGGAGCUGAAAUCAGUCGAAGAUACCAGCUGGCUGCAACUGUUUAUUAAAAACACAGCACUGUGCAAACACGAAAGUGGACGUAUACGGUGUGACGCCUGCCCGGUGCCGGAAGGUUAAUUGAUGGGGUUAGCGCAAGCGAAGCUCUUGAUCGAAGCCCCGGUAAACGGCGGCCGUAACUAUAACGGUCCUAAGGUAGCGAAAUUCCUUGUCGGGUAAGUUCCGACCUGCACGAAUGGCGUAAUGAUGGCCAGGCUGUCUCCACCCGAGACUCAGUGAAAUUGAACUCGCUGUGAAGAUGCAGUGUACCCGCGGCAAGACGGAAAGACCCCGUGAACCUUUACUAUAGCUUGACACUGAACAUUGAGCCUUGAUGUGUAGGAUAGGUGGGAGGCUUUGAAGUGUGGACGCCAGUCUGCAUGGAGCCGACCUUGAAAUACCACCCUUUAAUGUUUGAUGUUCUAACGUUGACCCGUGAUCCGGGUUGCGGACAGUGUCUGGUGGGUAGUUUGACUGGGGCGGUCUCCUCCUAAAGAGUAACGGAGGAGCACGAAGGUUGGCUAAUCCUGGUCGGACAUCAGGAGGUUAGUGCAAUGGCAUAAGCCAGCUUGACUGCGAGCGUGACGGCGCGAGCAGGUGCGAAAGCAGGUCAUAGUGAUCCGGUGGUUCUGAAUGGAAGGGCCAUCGCUCAACGGAUAAAAGGUACUCCGGGGAUAACAGGCUGAUACCGCCCAAGAGUUCAUAUCGACGGCGGUGUUUGGCACCUCGAUGUCGGCUCAUCACAUCCUGGGGCUGAAGUAGGUCCCAAGGGUAUGGCUGUUCGCCAUUUAAAGUGGUACGCGAGCUGGGUUUAGAACGUCGUGAGACAGUUCGGUCCCUAUCUGCCGUGGGCGCUGGAGAACUGAGGGGGGCUGCUCCUAGUACGAGAGGACCGGAGUGGACGCAUCACUGGUGUUCGGGUUGUCAUGCCAAUGGCACUGCCCGGUAGCUAAAUGCGGAAGAGAUAAGUGCUGAAAGCAUCUAAGCACGAAACUUGCCCCGAGAUGAGUUCUCCCUGACUCCUUGAGAGUCCUGAAGGAACGUUGAAGACGACGACGUUGAUAGGCCGGGUGUGUAAGCGCAGCGAUGCGUUGAGCUAACCGGUACUAAUGAACCGUGAGGCUUAACCUU